GAUCCGUAAUCCUGGAUCUUCAUCAGUGCUAAUAAUUAUAGACUAUGCUAAUAUUAUUAGCACUGACGAAGAUCCGGGCUAUACGGAUCGAAAGCUU
Molecule: non-coding RNA, 97 nt
Organism: Paramuricea clavata
Lineage: Eukaryota; Metazoa; Cnidaria; Anthozoa; Malacalcyonacea; Plexauridae
Source: the annotation of a GenBank genome assembly